AUUGAACGCUAGCGGGAUGCUUUACACAUGCAAGUCGAACGGCAGCGCGGACUUCGGUCUGGCGGCGAGUGGCGAACGGGUGAGUAAUGUAUCGGAACGUGCCCAGUAGCGGGGGAUAACUACGCGAAAGCGUAGCUAAUACCGCAUACGCCCUACGGGGGAAAGCAGGGGAUCGUAAGACCUUGCACUAUUGGAGCGGCCGAUAUCGGAUUAGCUAGUUGGUGAGGUAACGGCUCACCAAGGCGACGAUCCGUAGCUGGUUUGAGAGGACGACCAGCCACACUGGGACUGAGACACGGCCCAGACUCCUACGGGAGGCAGCAGUGGGGAAUUUUGGACAGUGGGGGCAACCCUGAUCCAGCCAUCCCGCGUGGGCGAUGAAGGCCUUCGGGUUGUAAAGCACUUUUGGCAGGAAAGAAACGUCGCGGGCUAAUACCCCGUGGAACUGACGGUACCUGCAGAAUAAGCACCGGCUAACUACGU
Molecule: ribosomal RNA, 483 nt
Filed under: uncultured bacterium
Lineage: Bacteria
Description: partial 16S ribosomal RNA
Rfam family: Bacterial small subunit ribosomal RNA
Source: RNAcentral